This is a non-coding RNA of Triplophysa dalaica, 1057 nucleotides long. Lineage: Eukaryota; Metazoa; Chordata; Actinopteri; Cypriniformes; Nemacheilidae. The record is from the annotation of a RefSeq genome assembly.
ACAAGAACAACAAUGACUUUCAGCAUCAUCUUCAUCUGGACACUCACAGUGUUUGCUCAAGAGUGUAGAGGACAGUACACUGUUACUCAGAGUCCAUCAAUAACAGCAGUUCAACCAGGACAAAGUGUUCAAAUAAACUGUAAAGUCAGCAGUGGUGUAUACACAGAUAGUUAUGGUCCUCGAAUGAGCUGGUACUUACAGAAACCUGGAGAAGCUCCUAAACUCCUCAUAUAUAGAGCAAAAACCCUCUACACUGGAGUAUCAUCUAGAUUCAGUGGCAGUGGAUCAAACACAGAUUUCACUCUGAGCAUCAGUGGAGUUCAGACUGAAGAUUCAGGAGAUUAUUACUGUCAGAGUUUACACUAUCCUAAUAGUAAAUGGGUGUUGACACAGUGAUAAAGAGUCGUACAAAAACCUCCGUCAGUCAGACUGAACAGUGACUGCACUGAUACACCUGACACAUACUGCAGCUGAUUAUACAACACACACAAAACACUGAUCACUAAUGACAAAGCACUGUUUUUUGUAAUUAUGAAGAUAAUCAAAAAAUAUCUUUAACAUUCAUACUGACUACUGAAGUAUCAGAUUAUUUUUAAUUUCCAUAAUUCAUAUUACUGACUCCUUUAUAUAAGAUGUUUUUCUCUGUUUGUGUGUGUUCUUUUAACCAACAUAUUUUACAUUUACAUUUUACAUUUUAGUCAUUUGGCAGACGCUUUUAUCCAAAGCGACUUACAGUGCACUUAUUACAGGGACAAUCCCCCUGGAGCAACAUGGAGUAAAGUGUCUUGCUCAAGGACACACUGGUGGUGGCUGCUGGGAUCGAACCAGCAACCUUUUGAUUUACCAGUUCAGUGGUUUAACGCACUAGACCACCAUCUCACAAAUCUAAUGAUCUUUAUGAGAUAAACGUUAUGAUCAGAUGCACAAACAGCCGCUGUUCAUGAUCACAACAUUUGUCCAGAGAGUUCAGUGUUCACACCAGUCAAGAGAAAAAAUACAUUUACAUUUUGAUCAGAAUAUUCUUUUAGUUAAAUUCAUGAUAUAUGUCAAUGAUAUA